CCGAGGUUUAUUUUGCUGCUGCUGCUGCCUAAAAUUGAGUUUUUAUACACUUCCAACAAAUAAAGCAAGCUUCCUACUUCCCUGACAGCAAAGAGCAGUCUUCAGCUUGGGCCCCAUCUCCAGAGUCAAAAAUUUCUUUUGAGAUAUUUGUAACUUUCAACAGUUGCGUGAAAUAUACUCCUGCGAGCAAAUCUGAAGCGUAUUUCUUUCUGAUUUCUCCAGAAUUUGGAAACUAUUUCUACCUUUCCUGGCAUGGAAAUCAGCAUGUUUCCUGAGGAAAUAGGCCAAAGGCAAAACAGG
Rhinopithecus roxellana (golden snub-nosed monkey) is the source of this 300-nucleotide long non-coding RNA. RefSeq lists it as uncharacterized. Lineage: Eukaryota; Metazoa; Chordata; Mammalia; Primates; Cercopithecidae. The record is from RefSeq and is a predicted model, not a curated record. The transcript has 3 exons.